CUGUGGCAUCAUCCCCAACCUCUUGUGGUUCAGGGAUGUCAAGAAUAUAGGAGAGUUUCUCCUGAGUGAGUACGAUCUUUAAAUUCCUCAACCAGUCCACAUAAUUUGGAUUGGUCAACUUGUUGGAAUCUAAAAUUCCUCGCAAUGAUAGUGAAGAUGCCAUUUGUAGAAUUUAAUCUACAAUAAUUAAAGAAUAUUACAUAAGCAAACAACUCAUAUUAACUCAUACAAUUAAAUAAGGUCUUUAGAUUUAAUUGUACCUUCCACUAUUUUAUUGAACAUCAUAACCCUCUACUAUGAUGAACGAGACAUAUGUUAUAUUUAUCUUAGUGGGAUUGAGACCCUAAUUCCUCAUAAUGAUCUUGUGUUAACACAACAAACCCUUAUGAGUUUAUAGGUAUGAAACUCUUUCCAAUUGCAUCUUAUGCAAUUUUCAAUAUUAUAUCUUGACCUCUAAAAUAUUAUUAGCCUUGUCUUAACACAACAAGCUAUAAUAUUUUAGUUAAGUUAGACCCUUCAUUUUAAUACAGUCAAAUUCUAAUAUAACUGCCUUUGUGUUAACACAACAAAGCAGUAUAUUCAAAAUUGCCAUAAGCAUCUUCUAUGCACCAGGAUUAUGUUAUAUCAAUCCUUAUGACAAGCCUCAUGUUAACACAACAAACUAGCCAUAGUUCAUGAUGUAACAUUAACCUAGCAUGAAGGAAGGCCCUUAAUAGUGUUUUCAACAUUAGGGUUUUUCAAUAUCAAGAUCGCUUAAUCAAAUUGGCCAGGUAAGUAAGGUGGGGGUCCCCUCGUUGCUUUCUUUAGACACCAAUAAAUUAGCCAGGUCAGACAACGGAACCAAUUAAAAAAUAACCUAUAGCACUUUCCUAGACACCAAUUGAUCAAUUGAUCAAGAAUUGGUUAACCCAUAGUUGCAUAU
This 922-nucleotide long non-coding RNA is filed under the name Elaeis guineensis (African oil palm). RNAcentral's name for it is "long non-coding RNA (EGUI_LNC065596)". Lineage: Eukaryota; Viridiplantae; Streptophyta; Magnoliopsida; Arecales; Arecaceae. The record is from RNAcentral.